Molecule: long non-coding RNA, 689 nt
Filed under: Equus caballus (horse)
Lineage: Eukaryota; Metazoa; Chordata; Mammalia; Perissodactyla; Equidae
Description: lncRNA (ENSECAG00000047354.1)
Source: RNAcentral
AACGGAAGCAGGGCAGGUACUAGAGAAGUAGACUCAAGUUUUAAAUAAAACAGAAAGAUUAUUCCAGUAAGCAAAGCAUUAUGUGAUUUCCAUAGGUUAGGGCAACAGGCAACAAGUGAUAGUCCAGGGACAAGCAAAUGAUUAGAAUGGGGCAGAAGGGCAAAGCAAAUACAUUUCUGCAUGCAAAAUACAGUUCCCAAACCAGGAGGUGGGAGAUGGCAUAGGAGGCAGGAGCAGAUGUCUGGAAGAAGAGAGCGAAUGGGGGAUGACUGGGGUUCCAUCCACCUAAGAGAAGGCUCGUGAAGAGAAGACUUGGAUCCUUUGGAGACCAGGACUUAGAUGAUGACGUCAGGAACUGAGGAGGAGACUGAAGAACUCACAAGCUCAGUGAUGAGAAUGGAGACCAAGAUAGGACUGCAGUGCUUCUCAGUGUACCUGGAGAGAGAUGAAAACUCCUCAGUCCAAAGUACAACUUGGAUCCAACCACAUGCAGGCAUUAACCGGCUGUUCCCUACUUAAGUUAGCCAUCACUUCUUCUGGGAUCUGAAGUACAGACAACAGCCAUCAAACAGUGUGAGGCCCUGAAGUACACCAUCGUCUCAUUAACAUGACAUUUAUCAGCUGGGCUAAGUGGCCAUGAAUAUGAAUGCAUCAGAGAGACUGACUGAGGAAGUUUCUGCUGUGCUGGU